AUCUGAUAUUGAGGAUGAAGACCUCUUUGCCUCUACUUCUACCCAGCAUGAGCUUUCAGGAUUCGGACUGAGCUGGUUCACAGAGGACCAAGUAAAGUGCCACCUGGCUUUGUUUUCCGUAGGAAUGAGAGUAAUGGGAGAAGUUGCCACCACUAAUAUUUUAAGAAGACAUUAGUAAGUGGUGAAAAGAUGGCAAGAAGUUGGCUGAUUUCUUCAAUUGAGAACAACAGCCUCUUUUGCUUCUGCUGCAAAUUGUUUUCCAAGAGAAACAUCAAUUUAACAAGUGCAGGAAUGGCAAAUUGGAAACAUGCAUGCAAUGAUCUCACAUCAUAUGAAAACAGUUGUUAUAAUAAAAUAUUGCUGUUUGUGCA
Long non-coding RNA from Carassius auratus (goldfish), 371 nucleotides. RefSeq lists it as uncharacterized. The record is from RefSeq and is a predicted model, not a curated record. Lineage: Eukaryota; Metazoa; Chordata; Actinopteri; Cypriniformes; Cyprinidae. The transcript is spliced from 2 exons.